This 914-nucleotide ribosomal RNA is filed under the name uncultured archaeon. RNAcentral's name for it is "bacterial SSU rRNA". It matches the Rfam family "Archaeal small subunit ribosomal RNA", at positions 1 to 922 of the family's 1478-position model. The record is from RNAcentral.
UUCCGGUUGAUCCUGCCGGAGGUCACUGCUAUUGGGAUUCGACUAAGCCAUGCGAGUCGAGAGGGUUCGGCCCUCGGCUGACGGCUCAGUAACACGUGGAUAAUCUGCCCUUAGGUGGAGGAUACCCUCGGGAAACUGAGAAUAAUACUCCAUAGGUCUAGGAUGCUGGAAUGCAUCUAGACUGAAAACUCCGGUGCCUAAGGAUGAGUCUGCGGACUAUCAGGUUGUAGUCAGGGUAAAGACCUGACUAGCCUACGACGGAUAUGGGUUGUGAGAGCAAUAACCCAGAGAUGAUAUCUGAGACACGAUAUCAGGCCCUACGGGGCGCAGCAGGCGCGAAAACUUCACACUGUGCGAAAGCACGAUGAGGGAAUCCCAAGUGCCAGCUCGUAAGAGUUGGCUGUUUUUCUGUCUAAAACACAGAGAGAGUAAGAGCUGGGUAAGACGGGUGCCAGCCGCCGCGGUAAUACCUGCAGCUCGAGUGGUGACCGUUAUUAUUGGGCCUAAAACGUCCGUAGCCGGUUUAGUAAAUGCCUGGGUAAAUCGUGUAGCUUAACUAUACGAAUUCCGGGUAGACUGCUAAGCUUGAGACCGGGAGAGGCUAGAGGUACUCCUGGGGUAGAGGUGAAAUUCUGUAAUCCUGGGGGGACCACCAGUGGCGAAGGCGUCUAGCUAGAACGGAUCUGACGGUGAGGGACGAAGCCCUGGGGCGCAAACCGGAUUAGAUACCCGGGUAGUCCAGGGUGUAAACGCUGCUUGCUUGAUGUUAGUUGGGCUCCGAGCCCAAUUAGUGUCGGAGAGAAGUUGUUAAACAAGCUGCCUGGGAAGUACGGCCGCAAGACUGAAACUUAAAUGAAUUGGCGGGGGAGCACAGCAACGGGUGAAGCGUGCGAUUAAUUGAACUCAACGCCGGA